UUAGAAGAACUCCAUUAUAGAAAGAAGAGAAUCUCUAAAUUAAGGCAGACGCAAGCUCAAUAUGUCUUUCUACAUGGCCGCGAAGAUCUCUCUGUUUCCCAUUGUCGCCGUUGCUUCAAUGAAAGCAGAGUGGAGCUCGAGAGAAAAAUGCUCCGGUUCGGCUGGUCGAGUCUACAGAGCUGCACUUCAAGCUGUGGUAGCUUCCAUCUCUGCUGGAAAUGAAGAGCGUAAAGGAACAAUGAUUGUUGAUGCCAUUGACAAAGUUGGAUGUGAUGGUAGUUUGUCCAUUGAAUCAUCCUAUCCUCUUUUGAGACCAUGGUCGAGUAGAAGCGGUAAUGGAGAAUGACGACAGAAGUUACAUCUCACACUCGUUUUGUAAAAACCAUGAGUGAUUACUAGAGUGAGAUUGAAAAUGCUAGGGUGCUUAUCAAAAGACAUCAUCCCCAUUUUGGAGGAGGCCACUCAGCUUCGAGCUCUUAUUGCAGAGGAUGUUACAGGUGAGGCCUUACCAACCCUUGUUGUGGAAAAUCUCUGUGAUUUCCUCAAUGUUGGCGCCGUUAAAGCUCCAGGAUUUGGAAAAAAAAGGAAGGCUAUUAUGCUUCAGGAUAUCGCUAUCUUAGCUGAGUACCAAGCUAGUGACAUAGGCUUGCUGGUCAAAACAAAACUACUGAUCAAAUGGGUAUUGCCAAGGUCACAGUUAGCAAAGAUUCAACUACGCUUAUUGCAGAUGCAGCCAGGAUUAUCCAGCUUAAGGAAAAAGUAUUCAAGACGGAUUUUGUGUGUAUGACUCAGAGAAGCUUGCUAAGAGAGUCGCUAAACUAUGGUGGUGUUGCUGUCAGUUAAGUCGAGCAGCAACUGAAACGGAGCUUGGGGACCAUGAGCUGAGCUCCCUGUCGGCGAUGCGGGAAACAUGACUUUAGCGAAUGGGAGCUCCGGUUGGGGUGCAACGGGAUGAAUGAUGCAUAUGAGAAUGAGUGAAUCUGUUGGAAGCUGGACUAUUGAUCCGGCAAAAGUGACGAGGUGUGCGCGCUUCAGAAUGCUCUGCUUCGGUUGCGGACUUGCGGGAAUGGUACUGACCCUCUCAGGCCAGUGUUGCCAGUUGGGGACAAACCGAAACUUAGGCUCCUCUUCAGAGGCUCAUGGUGUAAUGAUUAAUGAAUGAAACACACAACAUUUGAUCUUCUUAGCAUAUAGUGUAUGUGGGAAAUGAGUAGUUAUUUGGUAACGGUGACGAGGAAUAAUUAU
This is an RNA transcript of Camelina sativa (false flax), 1245 nucleotides long. RefSeq lists it as uncharacterized. NCBI's taxonomy places the organism in Eukaryota, Viridiplantae, Streptophyta, Magnoliopsida, Brassicales, Brassicaceae. The record is from RefSeq and is a predicted model, not a curated record.